UACGUAGGAGACGAGCGUUGUCCGGAGUUACUGGGCGUAAAGGGUGCGCAGGUGGCGGCGCGCGUGGGGGGGUGAAGUCGCCCGGCUUAACUGGGCGGGGGGCCUUCCAGACGGCGUGGCUUGAGCAGCGGAGGGGGGACGUGGAAUUCCGGGUGGAGCGGUGAAAAUGCGUAGAUAUCAGGAGGAACACCAAUGGCGAAGGCAGCUCGCUGGGACGUGACUGACGCUGAGACGCGAAAGCGUGGGGAGCAAACAGG
This 257-nucleotide ribosomal RNA is filed under the name uncultured bacterium. Its description in RNAcentral is "partial 16S ribosomal RNA". It matches the Rfam family "Bacterial small subunit ribosomal RNA", at positions 524 to 776 of the family's 1533-position model. The record is from RNAcentral.